This 466-nucleotide ribosomal RNA is filed under the name uncultured bacterium. Its description in RNAcentral is "partial 16S ribosomal RNA". It matches the Rfam family "Bacterial small subunit ribosomal RNA", at positions 28 to 507 of the family's 1533-position model. The record is from RNAcentral.
GAUGAACGCUGGCGGCGUGCUUAACACAUGCAAGUCGAACGGAAAGGCCACAGCUUGCUGUGGUACUCGAGUGGCGAACGGGUGAGUAACACGUGGGUGAUCUGCCCUGUACUUCGGGAUAAGCUUGGGAAACUGGGUCUAAUACCGGAUAGGAAUCACAUGUGGGUGUGUGGUUGGAAGGCUUUUGCGGUAUGGGACGAGCUCGCGGCCUAUCAGCUUGUUGGUGGGGUAAUGGCCUACCAAGGCGUCGACGGGUAGCCGGCCUGAGAGGGUGUACGGCCACAUUGGGACUGAGAUACGGCCCAGACUCCUACGGGAGGCAGCAGUGGGGAAUAUUGCACAAUGGGCGCAAGCCUGAUGCAGCGACGCCGCGUGGGGGAUGACGGCCUUCGGGUUGUAAACUCCUUUCGUCAGGGACGAAGCGAAAGUGACGGUACCUGGAUAAGAAGCACCGGCUAACUACGUG